RNAcentral lists this long non-coding RNA (10271 nucleotides) under Gallus gallus (chicken). RNAcentral's name for it is "lncRNA (ENSGALG00010025352.1)". The stretch from base 5292 to 5363 matches the Rfam family "mir-124 microRNA precursor family". Lineage: Eukaryota; Metazoa; Chordata; Aves; Galliformes; Phasianidae. The record is from RNAcentral.
AUCUGAUGCUGCAACAGGAAAGGCGCAGCACUUCUUCCCCUCCUAAUGAACUCCAAGGUGCUGCAAUUUCAGUGAUUGCCAUGCUUGUCACAGAGGAAUUAAGGCAGAGGUGUUUGCCCGGGCGCUGUCUGCAGCGGCCGAGAAGACCAAAAGGAGAAAAAGAGAGAGAGAAAGAGGGAGAGAGGAGACUUGAUAGAAAAAUCUGAUUCCCAAAACUCUUGUAAGUGUCAUUACUUUCUAAGAAAAUGAAUUGCUUUCUAAGUAAAAGAGAAAUGUGGAGGAAUGCCUGAAAUGGUAGCAGGGAAUGGACUCUGCCUGUCUCUUUCCUACGCAGCGAGAUUUCUGGGGCACAAAGCAGAGGCCUAGAGGCUGCAGAGCAUUUCUCUGAGCUCUGAAGCAGAGCUGGGCCUGGUUUGAAGGAGCUUUCCCUUCCUGACCGCCCGCGGGGGGCUCAGCAGCUUGGGGGCUGUGUUACCUGGGUCCCAUCCCACAGGCAGACAAAGGCCGGGAGCUUCUUUCCUUGUGCAGCAGAAAUAAGGAGGGGAGGAAAUCGGUUUUGGAGAAGGAAGGGUUGCUUUGCGAGAGCGGCGGUGUGCGGGUGAUGGUGUGGGUCAGGACGGGGCUGCGCCGAUGUUUUCAGGGUUUGUUGUGCCGCCGUUGAUGUCGGGUUCGAUCUUGUGUGUUUUUCUAACGUGGUCGUCUCUGCCUGGCGGAGCCGGGGUUUGGAAAUGGAAGGAAAGUGGAGGCAUGUUGCUCGUCUCUGGGAUCUCUUUGUUCAGGGAACAGUAGGUGGUGGGUUUAAAAAGGCAGAGAGGGAAAGAGGGGGAGAAGAAGAAAGAAAUGAAAAAGGAAAAAAAAAAAAAAAAAAAAAAAGGUUCUUUGCAAAUCAUCUGACUAUUUUCUUCCGGGAUGAAGAAAUGCUGCAUUAGAGAUUAAGGCAGGGCCAUGCUUAAAACAAAAUGUCUCACUGGAAGUGCUAAUAAAACAGCAGCAGAGCCCAGCCUGCUUUUACAGCCUGCAAGCCAGGAAGGGGCUACAGGGAUGGGAUUGGGGGGCAGCCAAUGGGGGCAUUUCAUUGUGAACUUCAGAGGCUCUGAGCUACCGGUGCGGUUUGGUUUAGAGGGGAAAUUAAACCCUGCCACCAGCACUGUUGCCCGCUGCCACACGGCACGGCUCAGCCGCCCACACCGGGGCUCGGUGCUCUGUCAGGGGCUCAGCAUCCCACUCCGUGUCCCGUGGUUUGAUGGGGUUGGGCUGGGGAGAAAGCAGCAGCAAAAUCUAUGGGUUCCCCUAGGAGGAUCUGGGGAAGGCGUCCGGGGCAGCACGAGCAAGCAGCGUUUCCCGCAUCCCAGCCCGCACCUCCGCGGCUGCCUUGCUGCAGAAUGAGCAGAGCAGCCCGUGGUAUGGAGCUGGGGGAGAAUCCCUGCGCGCCGGUCCCGUGCCCCGGAGCUGCGGCCCCGCGCCUUCAAUACCAUGGACAGCGAAGCCGAAGCGCGGCGGCACCGAAGCGGCGCCGGGUGGGGACGGAGAGCGGGCCGGGAGCCGGAGGGGGCCGUGCGGACACACCGCAGCGCCUGCCCGGGCUCUGUCCCCGCUGCCACCGGCUCCCAGGAGCUCCGGGGCCGGAGGAGGAGGGGAAAGGCUGCCCAACGUGCCCGGAGUUGGGGAGAAAGCUUCUGGAGCAGAAUGCUUCCCUCCGCCUUCAUUUGGUGAGGUUGUUUUCUUUUAGAUCAAUAACAGAUUGAGAGACGUGGUCUGUCAGAGUAAAUAGGUCAAUAUAGAAUAGGCUGUAAAUAAGCAGAUUUUAAAAUAAAUAAAUAAAUAAAAAUAAACACGUUUCAGAAGACGAAACGCUAGGGGAAAAUUCCCUUUGCUGCAUAACAUCAAACGUUGAUAUCCCCCUCCCCCUCCCCCUACCCCCCUUCCACCCCGUUUGGUGCCUAUGUCAUGCACUGCAGAGUUAUAAACACAAAUAGGGGCCCUUUAAAAUACGUCUCUUGAGCUUGGAAGGUGAUAUUUCACCUCGCUGCAGUGCUCCUGCUUGUCCCUCGUUGGCCAAACAUGGCCCAGCAGCCGCUCAUUCUGUGAAAUGCUAUCUGCAGGCCGACCUCCCCUCGGAGCCCCGUGUGUGGGAGCCGCCAUCCGCCAUGCAAUUGUGCUGAUGGAGCAGCAAAGGGAGCAGAUCGCAGCCCCAGCGGUCGCUGCCCCGCUGUCCUGGACCUGCAGGGGCACGGGGGCCUUCUAAGGCUGCGCCAAGAUGCCUUCCAUCAAAACCAUUGUGUCCUGCCUCCUUACCCCUUCCUGAGAAGGGAAAUACCACUGGGCAUGGAAACACACGCAUGCAAAUAAAUCCUUGCCUGAAAGCUACGCUAGCGAAUGCGCAGUGCGCUGCUGGUCAUAAAGUUGCUUUGGACAGGGAAUAGGGGUGUGUAGAAACCCCCCUGGAUCUGCACCUCCUGUCACAAACAUCAAUGUGAGUACGUGCGUGCGGAUGUCCACAGCUUGGGGGUGCAUGUACGGAUGGGGGGUGGAUAACCAGCAGCGAGGAAGCAGUCUGCUUAUGGAAAAACAAAACACAUGAGGCUUCUGAGCAAAGCCUCUCCCAGCUGCCUGAAGCCCACUUGGUGUUCAAUCCAUUUUCUUUCCCCAGGCACGAAAUUUGGCCUCCCUAGGUAAAUAAAUGUGUACCCGUGCCCCUUUUCAUUGUGAUGAGGUCUGGAAGUUUAACCAAGGAGAACUGCAGCAAAACCAUGGCCGAAUGCUUCCCAGCAGUGAGCCCCGGCCGGGCUGCCGUGGGGUUGGGGCAGGGCGAGGGCAGAGCAGCUCUGAGUGCCUUCUGCAUUUCCAAAGGUGGGAGAUUUAGCUCGAAAAAUACCCUGUCUGUUUGUCACCUGGACGUCAAAACCGUUCCCUUUCAGCACAGCAGGUCCUCACGCCUGCAGGUCUGUGCUCAUGUGACACAGGGAAAAAUCUAACGUUAAAACCCCAAAUAUAAAAUUUGUAUUAGAUAUUUAAGGGGAACCUCUUACUUUAUAUACCUCAGGACACAUUGUCUCUGUUCUGAGAGAACGGGGGUGAAAUCCUACACGUUUCUAAAAUAAAAAAAAAAGGGGGGGGGGGGGGAAGAGAGAGAAAGAAAGAAAAGAAAAGAAAAAAAAAACCGUUUUAAAAUUACAUUCAUGUCAGCUUUAAAAAAAAAAUUAUCGCUGAUGUCUUUUUGAGCUUGGAAAUGUAACUGUAGGAUGCAGCUCUCCCCUCCCCCUCUGCCCCUCCACCCCUCCCUUCCCAACUGAAAAAAAAAAAAAAAAAAAAAAAAAGAAAGAAAAGAAAAAGCAACAGAAUAUAUAAAGCUGCUCUGAUUAACAGUUUAGGUGCAGAGCCCUAUUUAUAAGGCACACGCUCUGCUAUAACGCCUCGGUCCUGCAGCCCGGAGCGGUGCAUUAUUGAUGCAGCUGCAAGUGCUCAAAGCUUAAACACUAUUUUCCGAGAGCCCCAGCAGCCCGCCUGGGAGGAAGGUGGGGACGGGCUGGCAAUGGAGUCCUGAAUGUUACUCCUCCAGUUUCAAGGACAUCUUGCUGAUGAGGAUUUGGUUAAUGGAGGAGAACUUAUGUCCUAGCGGUGACGUCAUUGGGUCCCAAUGUAAUCCUCUUGUGCUGAACCCAAUCAGCAGAUGUGCUGAGAGCCGGGAUGCGGAGAAGAAGCUCUAAUCCCUUAGACUGGAUGAGAUCAGCUGAAACAGCCAGGACUAGACCCCAAACCCCUCUGCUAGGAAGAUCAAGAGAAAAGGGAUAAAUUGAGAGAGACGCCUCAUAACCCCUUUAAAGAGCUUUGGAGAAGAGAAGAGAAAGAUGGGUGGUGCACCAAGUUCAUCUUGCUUUUAAAGCCUAGCGGGAGCCUGGUUUUCGCUCUGAUGAGGUCCUUCUGCAUUGUUCCAGGGCAGGAGGAGAGAGGAGGAAAAAAAAAUGAGAGAAAAAGGAAAGAAAAAAAAAAAAAGGAGGGAGAGAGAAAGAGAGAGAAAAAAAAAGUCUGAAAUUCAAAGAUAAUGAGAGACUAGGCGCCUUUCUUAUUCAUCUCCAGCUUGCCUACACAAAAACAGCAUCCUGAGCCACGGGAGGGCGUUUGCAUUGGAUCUGAGCGAGGCAGCAGAGUUUGUGCCGCCGGAGCCACAGCGCGCUGCUUCCACUGGAGUGGGUAAAUCUGCUAAGAGCUGUAAUUACGGGGUUUGGGCGACAAUGGUGGGAUAGCGACCCGGCUCUGUUGCUAACUUGGAAGAGCAUCAGGAUUUUUUUUUUUCGCCCCUUUUGCAAGCGACCUUAAUGGGCUUGUGAUUUUCUUUCUUUGCUUUUCUUUCUUUUUCUUCCUUUUUUUUUUUCCUUUUUUCUUCUUUUCUUUUUUCUUUUUUUGGACAAAAAGGAAAGGGAGGAAGGGGAGGGGGUGAUUGUCAGACGCGGUAUCUAGAGAGAGAAAUCGUCCUAAAUUCAUAAAGCGCCUCUCAGUCCGACGGCGAUCAUCGAAACGGCUUUAAUUGCUUUAUUCCUUUCUGAGCCCUUCCAAUUCUUUUUUUCUUUUUCUUUUUCCUUUUUUUUUCCCUGUUUUUUUUUUUUUUUUUUGAAAUUAACAUUUAAAAAACAAUAAUAAUGAGUGGAGCGAUGCUGAUGCCUCACCGCGGCGCAGCGCAGCGAUCGGAUCCCCGCGCCUCCCUCCGCCGCUUUCCCUUCGGGAGGAGAGCGAUCGUUCCUUUGCGUUGCGAGCGGAGGGAACACACGAGGGGGGAUUUUCCCUUCGCUCUCCAUUCCCGGGGACGGAGCGGUGCAGCCGCCUCACCCGACGCACCGCGGGGUUCAGCGGGAGGAGCCCCCGGAGCCCCGUGGCUCUGCGGCGGCUGCCCCCGGGAUGCGGGCACGGCUCCGGGGGUUGCCGAGGGGGGGUUGCGGCGCAGUUCUCCCGGCUCUGCUGCCCGCAGCACCGCUUCUCGCUACUCAGGGUUCGCGCUGUGGCCGUCCGUCCGUCCCGCGGGGCCAGAGCUGCCGGCUGGCGGAGCCCCGGGGGGGGCUUCGUGGGGCUGAACCCCCGCCUUUGGGCUUUGGGAAUGGAAUGAAGGAGGGAAGGGGGCGAUGCCCGCCCCCCCCCCCCUCUCCCCCGCCCCGAUCCCGCUGAGCCCCCGAGGCCGCCCCGGCGGAGGGGAGCCCCGGGCCAUGGAGUGGCACCGGCCCCGCGCUCACAGCCUCUUUCUCUCUCCUGCGAACCCCUCUCUCCGCCUUCCCUGCUCCGAGCCGGGCCAGCCCGAGCCUCUCUCUGCGUGUUCACAGCGGACCUUGAUUUAAUGUCCAUACAAUUAAGGCACGCGGUGAAUGCCAAGAGAGGAGCCUCACAGCUUCAUUUUCAUGGAAAUUGGGGACAUACACCCUCUAAUUACACUUAACAACAGCCACGGAGCGAUCUAUGGAGCAUCCCCGGCCCUUUGACAAACAGCGCGAACAAUGCGGGCAGGGCCCGAGGGGCCGGGGGAGGCGGCCGGGGGCCCCGAGGCCCCGCUCCCGCACUGCGGCUGGGGGCUGCCGCCUUACAAAGGGCACAGGAGAUCGGGCACGGCGGCACGGGGAGGGGGUGCCUGCGCCGGGCCCUCUGCCGAGCUGCGGGACCUCCGGAGCGGUGCUGGGAAAGCGGCGAGAGGAGCGCGAUGCAGUGCUGAAGGUCCCCGAAAAAAACACCCCCCACCACACCGAGGGUUGCUUUUUUCUAUUUUUUUUUCUUUUUUUUUCUUUUUUUUUUUCUUUUUGGAAUGGCGAGGGGGCUUUUUGCCGUGUUACCCCUUUGCCACGCUCUUUUCCUGCUCGCAGCCUCACUCUUUUCUUGUGCAGAGGCUCAGAGCGCAGCCCGCUGCGCUGCGGGGUCACAACGCGGGGCCGUGGUACCGUCCCCUUUGCACCCCGACAACGCGCAGAAUUAAAUCACGAGCCCGCUUUUGCUUCUCCGAAAGCCGAAUGGGUGCAGCGACGUGAGGGGCUGCAGCAUCACAGCCGCCCCGGUGCCACCUCCGCCGCCGCGCCGUCACCGCAGCCUCAAGGUGAGACGCGGCCCCUUCCGCAGUUUCCCCGCGGCGGUUCGUAGGUUAGCCUUCAGACCUCAAUAAAUCUCUUUGUAAGACUCGUGUUUUCAGCUUCCUAAAGACACGCCGAGCCCCAAGUCCUGAGCCUCCUGAGCGCUGUACUCACGCAAGGGAAUAUCUCAUUAUUUGGCCGUGUAGCUGGAUUCAGCCGCACACCCUCCGCACCCCCUCCCCUCUUCAUCUCUGCUCCACUUUUAUCAGCAUUGCGUCUGUCCGAGGAAGUGAAUCCAUAGACAGCUCCAUCCUCCAUCCCUGCAGUGGCUGACGUGGGACGCACCACCUUGUCUGCGACAGAGAUGCCGGUAGCAGAGCGUUUUCCUUGUUUAGGAGAGGGGCAAGAACACCCCUACUGCACCUUGCGGGAUUGCUUGGUUUCACGCUCGCCUGUGAAAAGCAGGCGCCUUUAGGGAGGGCUCCUGGGGGAAGAGGGACGAGGAAAGGGAAGAAGCACCGGAGGACACUGCGUGGCGGUGAGGAAGGGAGCUGCCCAGCUCUCGAGGCUGUUCUGCAGCAGACGCGUCGCACGAACGAGCAGUUGGGAACGGGUGUUGCCUGCAGCCCUGGGAAGAGGCAGCAGUGAGGAAGCACGCGAUGCCCAUACGGCUACAUCCAGCGGUGCGGCAAUCCGCUCCUCCUGCGGACCUGAUCCUGAGCGUUGCUCCAGCAAGGCCAGGUAUCGUGUAACUGCAGACACGCUUGGGGCGAGUGGCUGUGAGGCACGGGCAGCCCCAAACUCACCAGGAGGGCUCUUGAGGCACAGAGGUGUGUAAGAGAAGCUGGAUUUUCCCCAUUCCCUUUCCCAGUAGAUCAGCGCAAGCAGCAAGGUGUUGGAGACCUGCUUGCUCUCACGUCCGUCAAGCACUGCAAGGCUGCAGGACACAUUUUUGACCUCAUUUGCCCCCACCAUAAAUCAGGGGCUAAGUGGUGAUGUGCUCACUGCUGGGGUCGGGACAUCUGCACCACCCUGGCCUCUCUGGUGCACACUGGGGGGCAGAUUGCCAGUCAAGGGGCUAUUCUGCUCUUGAAAUGCCUGGUUCUUUGCAAAAUAGGUAUAGAGGGAUAAGGAGCCAAGUUCAGGGAGCCAGGCCCCUCUAAACCAAAAACGGCCUCAGGGACAGAAGGGAGCAAGCCACGAGGCAAUCUGCAGUGCAGCAGGAAAGCUGCUGGCUCCCUCCAGGGGCCACCAAGAAGCCAAGGACAGCUCUGCAAGAUGCAGGUAAUGGGGAGCUGCCAGGGCCAAUCUGCACUGGGCCUGGUUCCCGACACUGGGGUGUGAAGGGGAUCAUGGAUCGAGACCCACUGUGUCAAGACGGUGCCAGCCAGCUCCUGCUCCUGGACCAGAAUCCUGUCCAGGUUUGCAGAGGAGGGAGCGCAUGGACUCUGCAGCACAAGGGACUACUAUGAUGCACAAACACUCCCUCCUCUCCCGAGAUUCCUAUGGUCCCCCUUCCAAGACAAGAGGGAAAUCAAAGAGGUCAGGUGUCUCAGACUAAACCUUCUUUCUCACACACAAAGUGCCCUCGAACGCAAGCACGCACAUUUCUCCAGUGUCCCCAGGCUGCAGCUGGGGCUCUGUAGGAUUGCCCUGAGCGCACUCCCCACUGCAGCGUGGCUACACAGCCGUGAGCCCAGAGUCUGCUGUGCUGCAUUGAGCUUGUCACGAUUGCAUACAUUCUGCAGUCACAAGAGAUGAGAGCACAAGGCAGCGAGUCAGAUCAGCUGCAGCUGGGGGAGGGAGAAGCAGGAAAGGCUGGGGACAAGCAGCCAUGGUCUCGCUUUGCACGUCUCCUUCUCGUAUACCGACCCCUGCUUGUUUAGGUAAGCCAGGACCCAAAUGCCAGAUGACGGCCAAUGUACGUCCAUAAAAAAAUACCCCUCUCUCAUCCACCGUGCUUUGUGCUCAGCAAUGGGAUCCCACGUGCUCAGGGAUGCAGUCCCACCUCUGUGCCAAAGGCAGCCCAUGAGACCUGGCUGCCUGCCAUCCUGCAGUGGCCCCCAGAUGGGGUCUCACUGUGCCCGGGUUCAGCUGGGGGCAGCUCCCCGGGCCAUACACCCUGCAGCCCCAGAGCUGCACUGUCAGCCACAGCCCUGACAUCCUGCCACAGAGCCACCUCCAGCACCGGGCACAUAUUCAGAAGGAGGAUUUAUCCAAGAGCAGAUGCACUCCUGGGCCACUCGUGGCUUUAGUGGAGCCAAGUCCUGUUUUCUGAUGGAAAAACCCCGGGAAAUAGGAACUGCGCUUUGUAACAGAGGGGUUGGGUAAGGCCAUUCUAUGACUAAGUCACCACAAAGGGCAAAUUGCCACUUUAUUUUCUCUGUGGGGUUGCCCCACACUCAGGAGAGCUACACAAUUUCCCUCACAAGGGGAAAGCACAGCAGGAUCCAAGCUGAGGGCAAGGAGGAAGGUUGGCCUUCACCCCCCCCCCCCCCCCAAGCACCCCUUCCUCGCAGUACACAAAGCACCGGUUCCCAUCCCUCAUUCACAGGCCAGCUGGCCAGGGAGCAGCUUUACGUAUGACUGCUUCAUCCUAUACAAAUCCUGCCAUCAGUCAUUAAAGACAGAUUAAAACAAAAAAAAAAAAUACAUGUCUGUGCUCUCGAAUCACCACGUAGCAGAUGGAGCUGUCCUGCAUCCCCCUGCAUGUGCCAGGAGGGCCCCGGGUUUGGGAUAUGCUGAGAAAUACACGGACGGGUUGCAGAUGGGAUAAGGAGAAACAAAUGUGGGCAGAUGAGUGAUAUCAAAGGGUGAACUUAAAAAGAAAGAGGUUAAGGGAAAGAUGUUAACAGUCAAGUGCUUAAGAAGCUGCAGUAAGGGGAGGGGACGAUGUGCCUUCCUAUAGCGAUAUAGGUAGGAACGGGCUGAACCUGAAGCAGAAAUCAUUCGGGUAGUAGGAAAAGAGCUUUGCAGUGGAAAGGAUGCAGAAGCACUGGAGCAGCCUGGGAAGGAGGAGAAAUUCCCAUCUGGGGGAGGUACGGGGGAAGGGCCUGGCAGCACUCCCUGUGCAGUGCUGGUCUCAGCAGUCCUAUGCAGGCAUCCCCAGCACACAAAGUGACUGCUCCACUGGCAUCACGCACCCAUCUGCCCCAGAACUGAAUAUCUCCCUCCUGCCAACCCCCUCCCCUCCCAUCCAUCUUUACCUUCUUUCCCGGAGCCGAAGUGUUUCUGUGUCACCACAGAGACCUGGAAAGGGAUGGCAGAAGGCAGUGCCUGUAAAAGCCCAGGGCUGCUGUCCUGCUUUGAGAACAGGGCAGAGGCAUCCCGACAGCAGCGAUCGAAUUCAAGGUGUCAUUGUCCUUUUCUUCCAGAAAGGUAAGAGCUUUCCAGAAAGACUCACAGCUCCAGGCUGCUGCGCCAGGUGUACAAUAAGAUCAAGCCCACAGAAUCAAUCCAGUUUGGGGUUAUUCCCUCACCCAAUUUGUCCCACGCCAGCUCAAAACCGACCGAUUAAGCUCUAAUACCCCCAGGUGAUGUAUCCCAAAUGCCAUCCCGGAGGGACCGCUGUUUUCUCUGCUCUCCUAAUAGGCCCCUUUCUGUGAGCAGCACACCUUGUUGGGUGCGUUUGCAGAAAUAGGAAAUCAGAGGUAACCCGAUGUGUACAGGAGGGCAUCGGCUGUAAGGCAGGUACACAUAUGGCCGUGUCUUGAAGAUGACAUGCGCAGGGGACCUGCAGAAUCAGAGAAGCAUUCAGAGAAGUUGCUCAAGGAUCCUGCCCUCCAUCUGCCCCUCUCUCCGGAGGGGUUUUGGGGUUGUCAGGAACAUUCACCUCACCUGCAGCACAGCUUUCCCAGCCCGGGCUGUGUGCUCUGAGCCUAAGCUAAGGGGCUCUGUCCAUGGGGACGGCCUCUCCACUGCACAGUCCGUGCUGCAGAGCGGCUCUCCCCAUCACACAAUGGCUGCAGGGCCAUUACAGCACAAGGAUCACCUUCAGGAGGUGUUCUCGUAGCCCUGCAGGUAACUCCACCGGCAGCUGCUUGAGCAGGCAGCACCUUCUUAAAUUCCUAUCGCCCUUCUCACAAAGGAAGAGCCGAGACAAAACCGGUUCCUGCUUAAGCGGAGGAAACAAUAGCGGGACAAAGCCACACUCCGUGCUGCAAAGGCGCGGGUGGCCGCAGGAUGGCACUCCUGCCGCUUGUCCUUGAGGGACGGGAGAGCUGUGCCGGG